GAUGAAGAACGCAGCGAAAUGCGAUAACUAAUGUGAAUUGCAGAAUUCAGUGAAUCAUCGAAUCUUUGAACGCACCUUGCGCCCUUUGGCCAUUCCGAAGGGCAUGCCUGUUUGAGUAUCAUGAACACCUCAACUCUUCAUGGUUUUCCAUGAUGAGCUUGGACUUUGGGGGUCUUGCUGGCCUGUGGGUCGGCUCCUCUCAAAUGAAUCAGCUUGCCGGUUUUUGGUGGGCAUCACAGGUGUGAUAACUAUCUACGCUUGUGGUUUUCCACCAGGGUAACCUUCAGCAGUGGAGGUUCACUGGAGCUUACAAAUGUCUCUCCUCUGUGAGGACAGCCCUUUGAAUGUUUGAUCUCAAAUCAGGUAGGACUACCCGCUGAACUUAAGCAUAUCAAUAAGCGGAGGA
RNAcentral lists this unclassified non-coding RNA (406 nucleotides) under soil metagenome. Its description in RNAcentral is "partial contains 5.8S ribosomal RNA, internal transcribed spacer 2, and large subunit ribosomal RNA". The stretch from base 1 to 121 matches the Rfam family "5.8S ribosomal RNA", at positions 35 to 154 of the family's 154-position model. The record is from RNAcentral.